AUCGGUACCUCAAUUUUGAAGUCAAGAAUGCAUAGCGAUAUGAAUUGCUUGAUGGAAAUUUUCAGUUCCUAAACUUUGUCUAGGUCACAUCCCAUAAGGGUUGAGUCUUCCUGGGCCAUUAGCUCAGGUGGUUAGAGCGCACCCCUGAUAAGGGUGAGGUCCCUGGUUCAAGUCCAGGAUGGCCCAUUCGGUGUUGGGGGUUUAGCUCAGUUGGUAGAGCGCCUGCUUUGCAAGCAGGAUGUCAGGAGUUCGAGUCUCCUAACCUCCACUGAUCGAACUCAAUCUCCAUCUUCUGAAUGAUGGAAGGUGAACUSGAAUGUGAUGUGAUUUAGAUGUGUCCGCUGGCAUGACCCCAGCUUCCUGUCAUUCCGAAAUGACGUGAGUUAUCACAAUUUUUUGGUUGAUAAGAUGCUGGGCUCGAACUGUUUAAUCAGUUUGAUGUUUAGCAGAACCUUGACAACUGCAUAGGAAAAAGUCUGUAAGAAUAAAGCAUCUCUCAUGGAUGCAUCAUUCUUUUUAGGAUGAUGUCAAUUC
This 534-nucleotide transfer RNA is filed under the name uncultured Synechococcus sp. Its description in RNAcentral is "partial may contain 16S ribosomal RNA, 16S-23S ribosomal RNA intergenic spacer, and 23S ribosomal RNA". The stretch from base 196 to 268 matches the Rfam family "tRNA". Lineage: Bacteria; Bacillati; Cyanobacteriota; Cyanophyceae; Synechococcales; Synechococcaceae. The record is from RNAcentral.